RNAcentral lists this ribosomal RNA (127 nucleotides) under Escherichia coli. RNAcentral describes it as "partial 23S ribosomal RNA". The stretch from base 1 to 110 matches the Rfam family "Bacterial large subunit ribosomal RNA", at positions 2811 to 2925 of the family's 2925-position model. Lineage: Bacteria; Pseudomonadati; Pseudomonadota; Gammaproteobacteria; Enterobacterales; Enterobacteriaceae. The record is from RNAcentral.
CUUUAAGGGUCCUGAAGGAACGUUGAAGACGACAACGUUGAUAGGCCGGGUGUGUAAGCGCAGCGAUGCGUUGAGCUAACCGGUACUAAUGAACCGUGAGGCUUAACCUUACAACGCCGAAGCUGUU